RNAcentral lists this transfer RNA (72 nucleotides) under Planctomycetota bacterium. RNAcentral's name for it is "Planctomycetes bacterium (rhizosphere metagenome) tRNA-Thr". It matches the Rfam family "tRNA". From Rfam's summary of the family: Transfer RNA (tRNA) molecules are approximately 80 nucleotides in length. Their secondary structure includes four short double-helical elements and three loops (D, anti-codon, and T loops). Further hydrogen bonds mediate the characteristic L-shaped molecular structure. tRNAs have two regions of fundamental functional importance: the anti-codon, which is responsible for specific mRNA codon recognition, and the 3' end, to which the tRNAs corresponding amino acid is attached (by aminoacyl-tRNA synthetases). tRNAs cope with the degeneracy of the genetic code in two manners: having more than one tRNA (with a specific anti-codon) for a particular amino acid; and 'wobble' base-pairing, i.e. permitting non-standard base-pairing at the 3rd anti-codon position. Lineage: Bacteria; Pseudomonadati; Planctomycetota. The record is from RNAcentral.
GCUGCUGUAGCUCAGUGGUAGAGCACUUCAUUGGUAAUGAAGAGGUCCUGGGUUCAACCCCCAGCAGCAGCU